This 465-nucleotide ribosomal RNA is filed under the name uncultured bacterium. RNAcentral's name for it is "partial 16S ribosomal RNA". It matches the Rfam family "Bacterial small subunit ribosomal RNA", at positions 338 to 795 of the family's 1533-position model. The record is from RNAcentral.
CCUACGGGCGGCAGCAGUGGGGAAUAUUGCACAAUGGGGGAAACCCUGAUGCAGCGACGCCGCGUGAGUGAAGAAGUAAUUCGUUACGUAAACCUCUGUCAGCAGGGAAGAACGGUCACUGUGCUAAUCAGCAGUGAAUUGACGGUACCUGCAAAGGAAGCACCGGCUAACUCCGUGCCAGCAGCCGCGGUAAUACGGAGGGUGCGGGCGUUAAUCGGAAUUACUGGGCGUAAAGCGCUCGUAGGCGGUAUGUCAAGUCAAGGGUGAAAUCCCCGCGCUCAACGUGGGAACUGCCUUUGAAACUGGCAAACUGGAGUGUGUGAGAGGAAAGUGGAAUUCCAGGUGUAGGAGUGAAAUCCGUAGAUAUCUGGAGGAACAUCAGUGGCGAAGGCGACUAUCUGGCACAUAACUGACGCUGAGGAGCGAAAGCGUGGGUAGCAAACAGGAUUAGAUACCCGAGUAGUC